AGUUUGAUUCUGGCUCAGAUUGAACGCUGGCGGGAUGCUUUACACACAAGUCGAACGGCAGCACGGACUUCGGUCUGGUGGCGAGUGGCGAAUGGGCAGUGAAUGCAUCGGACAGCCAGUAGCGGGGAUAACUACGCGAAAGCGUAGCUAUCACCGCAUACGCCCUUCGGGGGAAAGCGGGGACCUUUCGGGCCUCGCACUAUUAGAGCGGCUUCGGAUAUCGAUUAGCUGUUGGUGGGGUAACGGCUCACCAAGAUAUUAUCCAGCUGGCGUUUGAGAGGACACUGCGUCACACUGGGACUGGAGACACGGCCCAGAUCUGCCGGGAGGCAGCAGUGGGGAAUUUUGGACAAUGGGGGAAACCCUGAUCCAGCCAUAUCCUGCAAGACAAGGCCUUCGGGGUUGUAAAGCACUUUUGGCAGGAAGAAAACGGCACGGGAUAAUGCCCCGCAACUGACGGCACCGUAAUAGCGCCACCCAGCUAACUACGUGCCAGCAGCCGCGGUAAUACGUAGGUGCAAAAGCGUUAAUCGGAAUUACUGGGCGGUAGAGCGUGCGCAGCGCGUGGUCUGGAAAGAAAGAUGUGAAAUCCCAGAGCUUAACUUUGGAACUGCAUUUAAACUACUGGAGCUAGCGUAUUGUAGAGGAGGGACUCCGCGUGUAGCAGUGAAAUGCGUAGAUAUGCGGAGGAACACCGAUGGCGAAGGCAGCCUCCUGGGAUAACACUGACGCUCAUGCACGAAAGCGUGGGGAGCAAACAGAUUAGAUACCCUGGUAGUCCACGCCCUAAACGAUGUCAACUAGCUGCUGGGGCCUUCGGGCCUCUGGUAGCGCAGCUGGUCGCGUGAAGUUGACCGCCUGUAUAGCUGGUCGAUUAAAACUCAAAGAAUGACGGGGACCGUACAAGCAGGGAUGAUGUGGAUUAAUUGAUGGUACCGAAAACCUUACCUACCCUUGACAUGUCUGGAAUCCCGAAGAGAUUUGGGAGUGCUCGCAAGAGGUCCGGAACACAGCGUAUGGCUGUCGUCAGCUCGUGUCGUGAGAUGUUGCUGUCUCGCAACGAGCGCAACCUUGUCAUUAGUUGCUACGAAGUUGCACUUAGACGAGAUCGCCGGUGACAAACUGGAGGAAGGUGGGAUGACGUCAAGUCCUCAUGGCCCUGCGGGGUAGGGCUUCACACUGGGCACAACACGGUCGGGACAGAGGGUCGCCAAAUCCGCGAGGGGAGCCAAUCCCAGAAACCCGAUCGUAGUCCGGAUCGCAGUCAGCAACUCGAUCGCAAGUCGGAAUCGCUAGUAAUCGCGGAUCAGCAUGUCGCGGUGAAUACGUCUCUGGUCUUGUACACACCGCCCGUCACACCUGGAGUGGGUUUUACCAGAAGUAGUUAGCCUAACCGUAAGGAGGGCGAUUACCACGGUAGGAUCUAUGACUGGGGUGAAGUCGCAACAAGGCA
Molecule: ribosomal RNA, 1453 nt
Filed under: uncultured Bordetella sp.
Lineage: Bacteria; Pseudomonadati; Pseudomonadota; Betaproteobacteria; Burkholderiales; Alcaligenaceae
Description: partial 16S-23S ribosomal RNA intergenic spacer
Rfam family: Bacterial small subunit ribosomal RNA
Source: RNAcentral